UGGGGAAUUUUGCACAAUGGGGGAAACCCUGAUGCAGCGACGCCGCGUUCAUUAGAAGGCCUUCGGGUUGUAAAAAUCUUUUGUAUGGGAAGAAAAUGACAGUACCAUACGAAUAAGGACCGGCUAAUUACGUGCCAGCAGCCGCGGUAAUACGUAAGGUCCGAGCGUUGUCCGGAAUCAUUGGGCGUAAAGGGUACGUAGGCGGAUAAGCAAGUUAGAAGUGAAAUCCUAUAGCUCAACUAUAGUAAGCUUUUAAAACUGCUCAUCUUGUGGUAUGGAAGGGAAAGUGGAAUUCCUGGUGUAGCGGUGAAAUGCGCAGAUAUUAGGAGGAAUACCGGUGGCGAAGGCGACUUUCUGGCCAUAUACUGACGCUGAGGUACGAAAGCGUGGGUAGCAAACAGG
This 402-nucleotide ribosomal RNA is filed under the name Verrucomicrobiota bacterium. RNAcentral describes it as "Verrucomicrobia bacterium partial 16S ribosomal RNA". It matches the Rfam family "Bacterial small subunit ribosomal RNA", at positions 355 to 776 of the family's 1533-position model. Lineage: Bacteria; Pseudomonadati; Verrucomicrobiota. The record is from RNAcentral.